GGGGAAUCUUCCGCAAUGGGCGCAAGUCUGACGGAGCAACGCCGCGUGCAGGAGGACGCUUUUCGGAGUGUAAACUGCUUUUCUGUGGGACGAGCGAGGACGGUACCACAGGAAGAAGCCCCGGCUAACUACGUGCCAGCAGCCGCGGUAAUACGUAGGGGGCGAGCGUUGUCCGGAGUUACUGGGCGUAAAGGGCAUGCAGGCGGUCGGACGCGUUUCCAGUGACAGCGGGUGGCUUACCUGCCCGAGUAUUGGAAAGACGGUUUGACUUGAGGACUCGAGAGGGACACGGAAUUCCGGGUGGAGUGGUGAAAUGCGUAGAGAUCCGGAGGAACAUCGAAGGCGAAGGCAGUGUCCUGGCGAGUAACUGACGCUGAGGUGCGAAAGCUAGGGGAGCGAAAGGGAUUAGAUACCCCUGUAGUC
This 423-nucleotide ribosomal RNA is filed under the name uncultured bacterium. Its description in RNAcentral is "bacterial SSU rRNA". It matches the Rfam family "Bacterial small subunit ribosomal RNA", at positions 356 to 795 of the family's 1533-position model. The record is from RNAcentral.